RNAcentral lists this ribosomal RNA (407 nucleotides) under uncultured bacterium. Its description in RNAcentral is "bacterial SSU rRNA". It matches the Rfam family "Bacterial small subunit ribosomal RNA", at positions 355 to 776 of the family's 1533-position model. The record is from RNAcentral.
UGGGGAAUAUUGGGCAAUGGGCGAAAGCCUGACCCAGCAAUGCCGCGUGAAUGAAGAAGGUCUUAGGAUUGUAAAAUUCUGUCCUAUGGGAAGAAACAAAUGACGGUACCAUAGGAGGAAGCCCCGGCUAACUACGUGCCAGCAGCCGCGGUAAUACGUAGGGGGCGAGCGUUGUCCGGAAUUACUGGGCGUAAAGAGAGCGUAGGCGGCACUACAAGUCUCAUGUGAAAUACCCGGGCUUAACUUGGGGGUUGCAUGGGAAACUGUAGAGCUUGAGUACAGGAGAGGCAAGCGGAAUUCCUAGUGUAGCGGUGAAAUGCAUAGAUAUUAGGAGGAACACCAGUGGCGAAGGCGGCUUGCUGGACUGAAACUGACGCUGAGGCUCGAAAGCGUGGGGAGCAAACAGG